UCCAGUCUGCUGAGAGGGCGGUGAUGAAGCAACAUAUUCUGAGGAAGGUGCGGUCGGCAGUGAGAGGUCAUAAGCUGGAGGCCAUCCUAGUAGCUUCUGUGGAGGCCUCCAUCGCUGAAGGCUUCAAAGGAGCAAGUAGCAGUAGGAAAUAGAAAUAAGCAUUUUGGUGAGCAUUCAACAGUUCAGAUAAUCGCUCAUUGAUGUAAAUAAGCGUUUUGGUGACAUACAAAAUAUGUUAACAUGUUUGGCCAUACAUGAGUUCGGGUCUCGUGGUAGCAUCAUGUUUGCAAAAGCACUGUCUUGUCUAUUUUACAUGGUGGUGUUUCUAAAUCUAGGUGCAGGAGCUUAAACACUCCCAUAUGUGAACAAAAGUCCGAACACCGUUGCACUGUUGUUGCUGAGUGGUCUACUCCGUGAUGUGAAGACGUCUCCUAGUCCUUUAGUGAAGCAACAUAUUAACGUCAGCAAAAAUCAAAGGUAAAUGCUUGUACGGUAUACCAUCAAUUUCAGCAGCAAGACGCUUUUGACCCCCACCACACCAACAUGACGAGCAAGAUGGUUGUCUUGCAUUAGUGUUUGCAUACAUAACUAGUUAGAAUGUGAUAUACUCUUCGGAGUUAUUUCCAUAACAUAGUAUAUGCAUGUAUAGCAUAUGGCUGAUAUGUUAUUGUGUUACCUGACUAGGCUGUCGUUUGUGCCACUGAGUCACUGAGAGGCAUGGGUGGAUUCCUGGAGUCGUCUUCAUCCUGUGUUUUGUGACAUUUCUCCAUCUCAUACAAGUAGUUUAAAUUAAGGCCAAGGCAUAUGAGCAUAUCCCUACCAACAAGCAAAAACCCAUCAGUGAUUUGUGUAUGGAAUUGACAUUCUAAUUUUAUAUAAAUGUAUGCUUCAGUAAAAACAAAACUUGAACCGAGGAACCAAAUUCAAGAGAAACAAAAGCAUUCCUAAAAUCUAGAAUUAGUUCUGCAAUGUUGAUAGAUAGAUAGCAUCAGUUAACUCAAAUAGUAGAGAAGUCAUUUACCCGAUAAUUUUUCAGGCCAUCAUGAUCAACAACUUGAAGUUUAGUGGCAGCAGACCGCUCCUUGUGAUCAAACAGUGUACUCGAAAAGCAUGAUGGGCCCAUAGAAUGGCGAGCACUUGCCAGAUCAAGCCAUCCUUGUAUUCAUAUUACAGUAUGGUGGGAACAGGCAAAUAUAAAUUUCACUGUAUCUCAAUCCAAAAAUAAAAAAGAAUCAGGUGCUACCUGCAAAUCUGCAACUCUGGGAGACACAUGCAGCAAAAGUACACCAAAACUGGAGAUCUAAAAUCUAGUAGUGAGCUCGUAACCAGAUGCCAAUGUGAGUUUAUUAAUGACAAAAACAACUAAUCUCAAACUCAAACUAAAUUAGUCUUCAAUACUCCGAGUCAAAGAUCAUAUCGCAUUCGAGCACUGUGAUUUACCGUGAAACAUUACUACCUACUAUUUAGUUACCAUGAUUGGAUUAUCCUCCUCUUUCUGGUUAUAAACGCAGAGAACUUAAAUCAUCUGAAAGAACAUAUAGGAGGGAUGAGAAUAGUCACAGGAAAAUAAUGCAAGAAAACUAUAUACACACCUCCUUCCUCCCGCCAGCACGGUCAGAGAGCAUACUAUGACAGCCUCAAAUCCUACAGUGUUAAGGAGAGUCACUAAGUUACUUAACAUCUUUUUUCGAAAGAAUAUUCAUCCAUGUACUGUGUAAAUAUGAAAUAACACGCAGAGAGUAAGGAGCGAAGAACGUUAACUGUAACAUGGGGGGGGGGGCAAAGUAAUUUUUUGGAGGUGGGGUGAUUCACUUUUCACGCCGAAGACAAGACACAGACCUUAGAGGAGAAAUAUGGUUGCGGUUUAAGGCGCCCAACGAAUCCAAAAAUCUAAGAUGCGAAUCGUAAGAAGCGACUAACAGAUCCAAUAAAUGUGAAGCAGAAGGAACUAGAUCUGCUAGAAGGACAAAGUAUCGGGAAAAAAGAAAACAUGCCUUUUUCUAACCUGGCAAAAACGUAGGAAGACGAAGUGGCUACAGAUAGACAAGACGGAGGGAGUAAGGACGAAGAGGAGCGUGGCAGAAAGAAUAAUGAGAGGCGAUUACAGUGGAAGACUACUGGUCGACCGAUGCAAGCUGCAGAGGAUCGACGGAGGGAGUGAGGAGAAAGAGAGACAGAACAAAACGAGCGAGGGUGGGUGGGAAGUGAGGAGGAAGAGAGACGGAGCAAAACGAGGGUGGGUGGGAAGUGAGGAGGAAGAGAGACGGAGCAAAACGAGCGAGACGAGGCUGACGCUAGCGUCACUUGGAAGUCUCUAGAGGCGAUAAGUACGAGGGGCGUAUGAGAGAGCAAGGAAGAUGGACUAAUGAUCCAUCAUCGAACGGCUACAAAGUUUU
RNAcentral lists this long non-coding RNA (2396 nucleotides) under Zea mays. RNAcentral describes it as "long non-coding RNA (ZMAY_LNC002815)". Lineage: Eukaryota; Viridiplantae; Streptophyta; Magnoliopsida; Poales; Poaceae. The record is from RNAcentral.